Molecule: transfer RNA, 82 nt
Filed under: Danionella translucida
Lineage: Eukaryota; Metazoa; Chordata; Actinopteri; Cypriniformes; Danionidae
Also listed under: 1 other name
Rfam family: tRNA
About the family: Transfer RNA (tRNA) molecules are approximately 80 nucleotides in length. Their secondary structure includes four short double-helical elements and three loops (D, anti-codon, and T loops).
Source: Rfam by way of RNAcentral
GUUGUCGUGGCCGAGUGGUUAAGGCGAUGGAUUUGAAAUCCAUUGGGGUUUCCCCACACAGGUUCAAAUCCUGCCGACAACA